UCUCUUCACAAUGUGGUGUUCACGUAUCGUCGGAAGAACGAGCUCUGAACUGUGAGGGUGUGUCGAGCUAGAGAGCAUGGUAGCUGAUGGCAGAAACUCUUUGAUUAGCGCCCUUGGAGAAGCGGAAUGAGUUUUCACGGUGUUCAUGGUGCAUGGUGCUCGUUGAGAGGAAGAAAUAAAUUGACACCCGUUUGAAACUCUCUGCGUCUUGAUCAAUAUAUCCGAGGGGCCGCUACAGUGAAAACUCAUCGCUGCACCAGCCCUGCCAUCCCUGGUGAGAAGCUGAUGCCAUCACAUCUGAAGUCCAACCACCAACCUAAUACCGGCCAGUUUACUUCGCUUGCAUCCAACUCCUGCACACAGGCAAGACUUAAAAUGGACAGCAUGCUUAAGGUACAGCUAGAGCUGCAAAAAGAGACACUGGGUGCCAAGGAGCAAAAAAGCUGAAAAGGGACAAUCUUUUACACACGCUUGCAGCAUAACUGAAGUGACUCAAAUAAUAAUAUGGUAUUAUAAGGUCAAAAUAUCUUGCAAGCUAAUUCUCAGUUCCUAACGCUUCUAAAACUGGUGACUAUUUCAAGAAACUAGCCCAUGCGCUUGGGUCAUGUCUGUUUAUGAAAAGGUUAAAAGGGUUGUUUUGUUGUUACUGUUUUAAGCUAAAAAUCCUUUUAGAUGUCCAUAAUCUGUUAAUGCGUGGCAUAAAUAUUACUCUGUGGUAAAGGAUAACUACAGCUUAUAAAUGUAAAUUCAGGCGUUGGACAAUCGAAGGCUACACUCGACUUAAAGCAGCAGCACAAACAAACAAGAUGUCACUUAAAGACAACCCAUGCAGGUCCAGCUCACGUGAAAGAAAGCUAACAGAGAAAGGCCAAGAGAUGCAUGACCAAGACACCAGAAAACGUGAGAAAGCAUUUAACAAGACCUAUGACGCUUGGAAGCUGGUAGCAAGGGAGACUAGGACAAAAUUAAAAACCCUCUGUUCAUCAGAAGACCUUAUUGAAUUACAGCAAGACAUUCAAGCAAAGCAUGAUGGCGUGUGCCAGCAGUAUGAACCUUUACUUCGUAACAGUAACACCACACCAGAGAUUGUAAAGAAGAUGGAUGCCUGUGUUACGCUAACAAAAGACAUUCGUGACCUUAUUAGUAACCGUCUAGAGACUAUUAAUCAAGAUUAUAAUGAUCAACUUGAGAAGGAAAGGGUAAGAGAAACAUUAAACAAAGAUGAAUAUGGGUCUGUCUUUGGCCACACUAAAACUGAAACGGUAAGCUCAGCGGAGUCACCGGAGAGAUUGAGCAACCACUCCAGCUCAACCAGUACCCACAGCAGUAGAGUAGAUGCACAAGCAGAGCUUGCGGCUAAGCUGGAACAAUCAAAAGCCAUGAAAGAAAUCCAAGCACAGCAAGCACAUCUUCACAAGUUAGAAGGUGAAUGGAAACUUAAAGAGGCAAAAAUGUUAGUAGAAAUGAAACAAAAAGAGUUGGAAAUGGAACAACAGUUGGAACAAGAGAGAACCAAAUUGCAGCAGUUACAAGCAGCAAAAGACGUUGCCAUAGCAGCAGCUCGUGUGAGAGCAUAUGACAAUUUUGAAGGGUUUGAGAACCAUGAUGAGGAGAUUAAUGACCAAACUAACUCUGCUUGCUACAGAAAGCAAAAUGAACCUCGAUUAAAUCCUGAUGCUGCAUCAUUCCAUCCACACCAAGCUGCUCCUGAGGUGACAAUGACCCAGGAGUCUGUCAGUCUAGCCCAGGUAAUCGCCAGCUCAUUAAGCAUGAACCGCUUGCCGGUCCCUGAACCAACCACGUUCCGUGGUGACCCUUUACAGUUUACAGAUUGGAGGAUGACAUUCAUAGCUCUUAUUGAUAGAAAACCCCUCCCACCAAGUGAGAAGAUGUUUUAUCUAAAAAAUUAUCUUGCUGGAGAGGCGCGCAAAGCGGUAGAAGGUUUCUUUUAUCGAGAUUCAGAAAGUGCAUACAAUGGAG
This is a long non-coding RNA of Cyprinus carpio carpio, 1980 nucleotides long. The record is from Ensembl. Lineage: Eukaryota; Metazoa; Chordata; Actinopteri; Cypriniformes; Cyprinidae.